GGGGAGUGAAGACGGAAUAGCCCAA
RNAcentral lists this unclassified non-coding RNA (25 nucleotides) under Dictyostelium discoideum. The record is from RNAcentral. Lineage: Eukaryota; Evosea; Eumycetozoa; Dictyosteliales; Dictyosteliaceae.